RNAcentral lists this long non-coding RNA (509 nucleotides) under Brassica napus (rape). RNAcentral's name for it is "long non-coding RNA (BNAP_LNC007385)". Lineage: Eukaryota; Viridiplantae; Streptophyta; Magnoliopsida; Brassicales; Brassicaceae. The record is from RNAcentral.
CCCCCAGUAAUUUUAUCCGUAAUCAGUUCGAUGCUCCUAUGCCCAGUCAGCUCCUGUUUAUUUUUUUACUUCUCGGUAAAUAUUUAUGUCUAUUUUCUACAAAUUUAAAUUUGAACUUUAAUAUUGGGUAUAUAUCGUCUAACCUCUAUGAAUGUCAAAAAAGUUAUUUACUUUUAUUAAAAAAUCAAGGAAUAUUGUUUAUAUGUAAGGAUUGGGAAUGUCACUAAACUGGUUGUACCUUGCCUUUGGAUUCUCACUAAGCAUAUGUGCAGAUGGCAUAUUCAGGUCUAUCUCCUUUUAGUCUGCACCUUCUCUUGUGUUUUUGUUGAUGAAGGAAAAGUUUAAAAAAUCAUAGGUCUAUCCCAAGAGUAAGGUAAGAGCUGUACAAAAAGCGUACCGAACCAUCAGGAGAAGUCUAAUCACAUAUUAAGAAUCUACUAUAUUACAGAAAUUAAGCAAAUCCAUUUUGAUAAAUUGAAGCAAAUAAAACAAUCAAAACAAACUCAAAA